AGUCACGGGGCGGGCGCAGCCUGAUCCGCCCGCCGCGUGAGUGACGAAGGCCUUAGGGUUGUAAAGCUCUUUUGGCGGGGAAGAUAAUGACGGUACCCGCAGAAUAAGCUCCGGCUAACUUCGUGCCAGCAGCCGCGGUAAUACGAAGGGAGCUAGCGUUGUUCGGAAUCACUGGGCGUAAAGCGCACGUAGGCGGAUGUGUCAGUCAGGGGUGAAAUCCCGGAGCUCAACUUCGGAACUGCCCUUGAUACAGCACGUCUCGAGUCCGAGAGAGGUGAGUGGAAUUCCUAGUGUAGAGGUGAAAUUCGUAGAUAUUAGGAAGAGGGCCAGUGGCGAAGGCGGCUCACUGGCUCGGUACUGACGCUGAGGUGCGAAAG
This 377-nucleotide ribosomal RNA is filed under the name uncultured bacterium. RNAcentral describes it as "bacterial SSU rRNA". It matches the Rfam family "Bacterial small subunit ribosomal RNA", at positions 359 to 759 of the family's 1533-position model. The record is from RNAcentral.